UACGUAGGGUGCGAGCGUUAAUCGGAAUUACUGGGCGUAAAGCGUGCGCAGGCGGUUCGUCGUGUCCGAUGUGAAAGCCCCGGGCUCAACCUGGGAAUGGCAUUGGAAACUGGCGGACUCGAGUGUGGCAGAGGAAGGUGGAAUUCCACGUGUAGCGGUGAAAUGCGUAGAGAUGUGGAGGAACACCGAUGGCGAAGGCAGCCUUCUGGGCCAACACUGACGCUCAUGCACGAAAGCGUGGGGAGCAAACAGG
This 253-nucleotide ribosomal RNA is filed under the name uncultured bacterium. Its description in RNAcentral is "partial 16S ribosomal RNA". It matches the Rfam family "Bacterial small subunit ribosomal RNA", at positions 524 to 776 of the family's 1533-position model. The record is from RNAcentral.